RNAcentral lists this ribosomal RNA (468 nucleotides) under uncultured bacterium. Its description in RNAcentral is "partial 16S ribosomal RNA". It matches the Rfam family "Bacterial small subunit ribosomal RNA", at positions 28 to 507 of the family's 1533-position model. The record is from RNAcentral.
GGCGAACGCUGGCGGUGUGCUUAACACAUGCAAGUCGAACGGAAAGGCCCUGCUUUUGUGGGGUGCUCGAGUGGCGAACGGGUGAGUAACACGUGAGUAACCUGCCCUUGACUUUGGGAUAACUUCAGGAAACUGGGGCUAAUACCGGAUAGGAGCUCCUGCUGCAUGGUGGGGGUUGGAAAGUUUCGGCGGUUGGGGAUGGACUCGCGGCUUAUCAGCUUGUUGGUGGGGUAGUGGCUUACCAAGGCUUUGACGGGUAGCCGGCCUGAGAGGGUGACCGGGCUCAAGAGGCCUGCGGGACGCAGCAGUCUCCAACAUUAGACAAAGGGCGGGAACAUGACACAGCGGGCGCGAGUGGGUGGCGGCAACGCCCGGUUCGUAAUGACCGCUUGUUGGGAGAGAACCGCAGCCGCUUAAUACGAAGCUGUUGUGACGGUACUCGAUGAAUAAGCACCGGCUAACUACGUG